This 292-nucleotide ribosomal RNA is filed under the name uncultured bacterium. Its description in RNAcentral is "partial 16S ribosomal RNA". It matches the Rfam family "Bacterial small subunit ribosomal RNA", at positions 505 to 796 of the family's 1533-position model. The record is from RNAcentral.
GUGUCAGCAGCCGCGGUAAUACGGAGGGUGCAAGCGUUAAUCGGAAUUACUGGGCGUAAAGGGUGCGUAGGUGGUUAUCUAAGUUAUCUGUAAAAUCCCUGGGCUUAACCUGGGCAUGUCAGAUAAGACUGGACGACUCGAGUAUGGGAGAGGGCAGUGGAAUUUCCGGUGUAGCGGUGAAAUGCGUAGAGAUCGGAAGGAACACCAGUGGCGAAGGCGGCUGCCUGGCCUAAUACUGACACUGAGGCACGAAAGCGUGGGGAGCAAACAGGAUUAGAAACCCGUGUAGUCC